RNAcentral lists this ribosomal RNA (550 nucleotides) under Escherichia coli. Its description in RNAcentral is "partial 23S ribosomal RNA". It matches the Rfam family "Bacterial large subunit ribosomal RNA", at positions 2180 to 2729 of the family's 2925-position model. The record is from RNAcentral. Lineage: Bacteria; Pseudomonadati; Pseudomonadota; Gammaproteobacteria; Enterobacterales; Enterobacteriaceae.
AUGGAGCCGACCUUGAAAUACCACCCUUUAAUGUUUGAUGUUCUAACGUUGACCCGUAAUCCGGGUUGCGGACAGUGUCUGGUGGGUAGUUUGACUGGGGCGGUCUCCUCCUAAAGAGUAACGGAGGAGCACGAAGGUUGGCUAAUCCUGGUCGGACAUCAGGAGGUUAGUGCAAUGGCAUAAGCCAGCUUGACUGCGAGCGUGACGGCGCGAGCAGGUGCGAAAGCAGGUCAUAGUGAUCCGGUGGUUCUGAAUGGAAGGGCCAUCGCUCAACGGAUAAAAGGUACUCCGGGGAUAACAGGCUGAUACCGCCCAAGAGUUCAUAUCGACGGCGGUGUUUGGCACCUCGAUGUCGGCUCAUCACAUCCUGGGGCUGAAGUAGGUCCCAAGGGUAUGGCUGUUCGCCAUUUAAAGUGGUACGCGAGCUGGGUUUAGAACGUCGUGAGACAGUUCGGUCCCUAUCUGCCGUGGGCGCUGGAGAACUGAGGGGGGCUGCUCCUAGUACGAGAGGACCGGAGUGGACGCAUCACUGGUGUUCGGGUUGUCAUGC